Molecule: transfer RNA, 66 nt
Filed under: Curculionoidea sp. 24 KM-2017
Lineage: Eukaryota; Metazoa; Arthropoda; Insecta; Coleoptera
Description: tRNA-Ser
Source: RNAcentral
AGUUAAUGAACUUGUAAAAGUAUGUGUCUUGAAAACACAAAAAAGAAUUAAACCUUCUAUUAACUU